Molecule: small nuclear RNA, 106 nt
Organism: Myotis lucifugus (little brown bat)
Lineage: Eukaryota; Metazoa; Chordata; Mammalia; Chiroptera; Vespertilionidae
Source: Ensembl
GUGCUUGCUUCAGCAGCACAUAUACUAAAAUUGGAAUGAUACAGAGAAGAUUGGUGUGGCCCUGCUUAAGGAUGACACACAAAUUCAUGAAAUGCUCCAUAUUAAA